UUGCUAAUAUUGUCAGCGAAGUGGCUGCACGGGUGAGUAAUAUAUAGGUAACGUGCCCUAGAUAAGAGGAUAACAUUUGGAAACGAAUGCUAAUACUCUAUAUGCCUUUAAGUCAUAAGACUGCAAGGGAAAUAUUUAUAGCUCUAGGAUCGGCCUGUACGGUAUCAGCUUGUUGGUGAGGUAAUGGCUCACCAAGGCAAUGACACCUAACUGGUUUGAGAGGAUGAUCAGUCACACUGGAACUGAGACACGGUCCAGACUCCUACGGGAGGCAGCAGUGGGGAAUAUUGCACAAUGGACGAAAGUCUGAUGCAGCAACGCCGCGUGGAGGAUGACACAUUUCGGUGCGUAAACUCCUUUUAUAUAGGAAGACAAUGACGGUACUAUAUGAAUAAGCGCCGGCUAACUCC
This 410-nucleotide ribosomal RNA is filed under the name uncultured Arcobacter sp. RNAcentral's name for it is "bacterial SSU rRNA". It matches the Rfam family "Bacterial small subunit ribosomal RNA", at positions 73 to 504 of the family's 1533-position model. Lineage: Bacteria; Pseudomonadati; Campylobacterota; Epsilonproteobacteria; Campylobacterales; Arcobacteraceae. The record is from RNAcentral.